UACUUAGGGUGCAAGCGGUAAUCGGAAUUACUGGGCGUAAAGCGCACGCAGGCUGUCUGUCAAGUCGGAUGUGAAAUCCCCGGGCUCAACCUGGGAACUGCCUCCGUAACUGGCAGGCUAGAGUCUUGUAGAGGGGGGUAGAAUUACAGGUGUAGCGGUGAAAUGCGUAGAGAUCUGGAGGAAUACCGGUGGCGAAGGCGGCCCCCUGGACAAAGACUGACGCUCCGGUGCGAAAGCGUGGGGAGCAAACAGG
RNAcentral lists this unclassified non-coding RNA (253 nucleotides) under uncultured Enterobacteriaceae bacterium. Its description in RNAcentral is "contains 16S-23S intergenic spacer region". It matches the Rfam family "Bacterial small subunit ribosomal RNA", at positions 524 to 776 of the family's 1533-position model. The record is from RNAcentral. Lineage: Bacteria; Pseudomonadati; Pseudomonadota; Gammaproteobacteria; Enterobacterales; Enterobacteriaceae.